RNAcentral lists this unclassified non-coding RNA (218 nucleotides) under uncultured Nocardioidaceae bacterium. RNAcentral's name for it is "contains 16S-23S intergenic spacer region". It matches the Rfam family "Bacterial small subunit ribosomal RNA", at positions 976 to 1194 of the family's 1533-position model. Lineage: Bacteria; Bacillati; Actinomycetota; Actinomycetes; Propionibacteriales; Nocardioidaceae. The record is from RNAcentral.
UGGGUUUGACAUAUACGGGAAGCCCCCAGAGAUGGGGGUCUCUUUGGACACUCGUAUACAGGUGGUGCAUGGCUGUCGUCAGCUCGUGUCGUGAGAUGUUGGGUUAAGUCCCGCAACGAGCGCAACCCUCGUCUUAUGUUGCCAGCACGUUAUGGUGGGGACUCAUAAGAGACUGCCGGGGUCAACUCGGAGGAAGGUGGGGAUGACGUUCGUCUGAC